This 701-nucleotide ribosomal RNA is filed under the name uncultured Alphaproteobacteria bacterium. Its description in RNAcentral is "bacterial SSU rRNA". It matches the Rfam family "Bacterial small subunit ribosomal RNA", at positions 28 to 777 of the family's 1533-position model. Lineage: Bacteria; Pseudomonadati; Pseudomonadota; Alphaproteobacteria. The record is from RNAcentral.
AGCGAACGCUGGCUGCAGGCCUAACACAUGCAAGUCGAACGGCUCUUCGGAGCAGUGGCGGACGGGUGAGUAACGCGUGGGAACGUGCCCUUUGGUUCGGAACAACACAGGGAAACUUGUGCUAAUACCGGAUGUGCCCUUCGGGGGAAAGAUUUAUCGCCAUUGGAGCGGCCCGCGUUGGAUUAGGUAGUUGGUGGGGUAAUGGCCCACCAAGCCGACGAUCCAUAGCUGGUCUGAGAGGAUGAUCAGCCACACUGGGACUGAGACACGGCCCAGACUCCUACGGGAGGCAGCAGUGGGGAAUCUUGCGCAAUGGGCGAAAGCCUGACGCAGCCAUGCCGCGUGAAUGAUGAAGGUCUUAGGAUUGUAAAAUUCUUUCACCGGGGAAGAUAAUGACGGUACCCGGAGAAGAAGCCCCGGCUAACUUCGUGCCAGCAGCCGCGGUAAUACGAAGGGGGCUAGCGUUGCUCGGAAUUACUGGGCGUAAAGGGCGCGUAGGCGGACAGUUAAGUCAGAGGUGAAAGCCCAGGGCUCAACCUUGGAAUUGCCUUUGAUACUGGCUGUCUUGAGUUCGGGAGAGGUGAGUGGAAUGCCGAGUGUAGAGGUGAAAUUCGUAGAUAUUCGGCGGAACACCAGUGGCGAAGGCGACUCACUGGCCCGAUACUGACGCUGAGGCGCGAAAGCGUGGGGAGCAAACAGGA